ACGUGGUCGUAGACCCGAAACCAGGUGAUCUACCCAUGUCCAGGGUGAAGUUCAGGUAACACUGAAUGGAGGCCCGAACCCACGCACGUUGAAAAGUGCGGGGAUGAGGUGUGGGUAGGGGUGAAAUGCCAAUCGAACCUGGAGAUAGCUGGUUCUCUCCGAAAUAGCUUUAGGGCUAGCCUCAAGGUAAGAGUCUUGGAGGUAGAGCACUGAUUGGACUAGGGGCCCCUACCGGGGUACCGAAUUCAGUCAAACUCCGAAUGCCAAUGACUUAUCCUUGGGAGUCAGACUG
RNAcentral lists this ribosomal RNA (292 nucleotides) under Xanthomonas citri pv. citri. RNAcentral's name for it is "partial 23S ribosomal RNA". It matches the Rfam family "Bacterial large subunit ribosomal RNA", at positions 701 to 991 of the family's 2925-position model. Lineage: Bacteria; Pseudomonadati; Pseudomonadota; Gammaproteobacteria; Lysobacterales; Lysobacteraceae. The record is from RNAcentral.